GACGAACGCUGGCGGCGUGCUUAACACAUGCAAGUCGAACGGAAAGGCCCUGCUUUUGUGGGGUGCUCGAGCGGCGAACGGGUGAGUAACACGUGAGUAACCUGCCCUUGACUUUGGGAUAACUUCAGGAAACUGGGGCUAAUACCGGAUAGGAGCUCCUGCUGCAUGGUGGGGGUUGGAAAGUUUCGGCGGUUGGGGAUGGACUCGCGGCUUAUCAGCUUGUUGGUGGGGUAGUGGCUUACCAAGGCUUUGACGGGUAGCCGGCCUGAGAGGGUGACCGGCCACAUUGGGACUGAGAUACGGCCCAGACUCCUACGGGAGGCAGCAGUGGGGAAUAUUGCACAAUGGGCGGAAGCCUGAUGCAGCAACGCCGCGUGCGGGAUGACGGCCUUCGGGUUGUAAACCGCUUUCGCCUGUGACGAAGCGUGAGUGACGGUAAUGGGUAAAGGAGCACCGGCUAACUACGU
RNAcentral lists this ribosomal RNA (467 nucleotides) under uncultured bacterium. Its description in RNAcentral is "partial 16S ribosomal RNA". It matches the Rfam family "Bacterial small subunit ribosomal RNA", at positions 28 to 506 of the family's 1533-position model. The record is from RNAcentral.